UAUGCCAGGGUAAAUUUCUAGCAUUCUUGGAAGCCAGUUGUUCGUUGCUGAAGACUAAAUGGGAAGCAUUUGAAAAUUUGGAUGAUGACUUGGUUACAAAGGUCACUGGUAGAUUAGUUGAGAGUUGACUGUUGAGGGAUGUCGGCCAUUGAUCCUAAGACUAAGAAGAAGACCAUCAUCGAUACCGACCCUGGAAGUGUGCUCUGUGCCAGAUCUUCUUCCCUUAGUGAUCUGGUAAUGAAACCUAAACUGUCUUCCUCAAAGCCAAAGCCAAAGCCCAGGAAUG
Molecule: long non-coding RNA, 286 nt
Organism: Morus notabilis
Lineage: Eukaryota; Viridiplantae; Streptophyta; Magnoliopsida; Rosales; Moraceae
Exons: 3
Source: RefSeq, a predicted model, not a curated record